UGACAAUUGGUGAGUUAACUAUGAUAAUUUCACGUAGUUAAUUACUCAAUUUAAUUUGCAAGAGUUUAUUUAUGACAAUUACUCAAUGUCUCUCGCAUUGAACAAUAUACAGCUUCUAAACUGUAGGAUGGGAAUAACUGUGAUCAAGGUCGUUGUCAUCUAUCAACUUCUCUUCACCUCAUUCCUUUGUGAAUUAAAUCAACAACAUAUUUGUGCUGCUAAAUGCAGAGGUGGAAAAAGCAUUGCUUCUGAAAGCAAAAUGAUAUUCA
RNAcentral lists this unclassified non-coding RNA (269 nucleotides) under Hevea brasiliensis (rubber tree). The record is from RNAcentral. Lineage: Eukaryota; Viridiplantae; Streptophyta; Magnoliopsida; Malpighiales; Euphorbiaceae.